RNAcentral lists this ribosomal RNA (1340 nucleotides) under uncultured bacterium. Its description in RNAcentral is "bacterial SSU rRNA". It matches the Rfam family "Bacterial small subunit ribosomal RNA", at positions 28 to 1381 of the family's 1533-position model. The record is from RNAcentral.
GACGACCUUAAGAGGCGUGCUUUAUCAUGCAAGUCGAACGGUAAGGCCUUUUCUUGCUGGGGUACACUAGUGGCGAACGGGUGAGUAACACGUGGGUGACCUGCCCUGCACUUCGGGAUAAGCCUGGGAAACUGGGUCUAAUACCGGAUAGGACUGCUCCUUGAGGGUGUGGUGGAAAGUUUUUUCUGUGUGGGAUGGGCCCGCGGCCUAUCAUCUUGUUGGUGGGGUAAUGGCCUACCAAGGCGGCGACGGGUAGCCGGCCUGAGAGGGUGGACGGCCACAUUGGGACUGAUACACGGCCUCACACUCCUACGGGAGGUAGGCGUGGGGAAUUUUGCUCUCUGGGCGGAAGCCUGAUGCAGCGACGCCGCGUGGGGGAUGACGGCCUUCGGUUGUAAACUCCUUUCACCCAUCGACGAAGGGUUUCUGACGGUAGAUGAGAGAAAAGCACCGGCUAACUACGUGCCAGCAGCCGCGGUAAUACGUAGGGUGCGAGCGUUGUCCGGAAUUACUGGGCGUAAAGAGCUCGUAGGUGGUUUGUCGCGUCGUCUGUGAAUUCCGGGGCUUAACUCCGGGCGUGCAGGCGGUACGGGCAUAACUUGAGUACUGUAGGGGAGACUGGAAUUCCUGGUGUAGCGGUGAAAUGCGCAGAUAUCAGGAGGAACACCGGUGGCGAAGGCGGGUCUCUGGGCAGUAACUGACGCUGAGGAGCGAAAGCAUGGGGAGCGAACAGGAUUAGAUACCCUGGUAGUCCAUGCCGUAAACGGUGGGCGCUAGGUGUGGGUUUCCUUCCACGGGAUCCGUGCCGUAGCUAACGCAUUAAGCGCCCCGCCUGGGGAGUACGGCCGCAAGGCUAAAACUCAAAGGAAUUGACGGGGGCCCGCACAAGCGGCGGAGCAUGUGGAUUAAUUCGAUGCAACGCGAAGAACCUUACCUGGGCCUGACAUAUACAGGAUCGCGCCAGAGAUGGUGUUUCCCUUGUGGCUUGUAUACAGGUGGUGCAUGGUUGUCGUCAGCUCGUGUCGUGAGAUGUUGGGUUAAGUCCCGCAACGAGCGCAACCCUUGUCUUAUGUUGCCAGCACGUUGUGGUGGGGACUCGUAAGAAACUGCCGGGGUUAACUCGGAGGAAGGUGGGGAUGACGUCAAAUCAUCAUGCCCCUUAUGUCCAGGGCUUCACACAUGCUACAAUGGUCGGUACAGUGGGUUGCCAGUCCGUGAGGGCGAGCUAAUCCCGCAAAGCCGGUCUCAGUUCGGAUCGGGGUCUGCAACUCGACCCCGUGAAGUCGGAGUCGCUAGUAAUCGCAGAUCAGCAACGCUGCGGUGAAUACGUUCCCGGGCCU